This 206-nucleotide ribosomal RNA is filed under the name Escherichia coli. RNAcentral describes it as "partial 23S ribosomal RNA". It matches the Rfam family "Bacterial large subunit ribosomal RNA", at positions 2159 to 2364 of the family's 2925-position model. Lineage: Bacteria; Pseudomonadati; Pseudomonadota; Gammaproteobacteria; Enterobacterales; Enterobacteriaceae. The record is from RNAcentral.
GAAGUGUGGACGCCAGUCUGCAUGGAGCCGACCUUGAAAUACCACCCUUUAAUGUUUGAUGUUCUAACGUUGACCCGUAAUCCGGGUUGCGGACAGUGUCUGGUGGGUAGUUUGACUGGGGCGGUCUCCUCCUAAAGAGUAACGGAGGAGCACGAAGGUUGGCUAAUCCUGGUCGGACAUCAGGAGGUUAGUGCAAUGGCAUAAGC